RNAcentral lists this ribosomal RNA (438 nucleotides) under uncultured bacterium. Its description in RNAcentral is "bacterial SSU rRNA". It matches the Rfam family "Bacterial small subunit ribosomal RNA", at positions 958 to 1398 of the family's 1533-position model. The record is from RNAcentral.
AACGCGAAGAACCUUACCAAGGCUUGACAUGGGGUGAAAACUCGCAGAGAUGCGGGGUCCGCAAGGGCGCCUCACAGGUGGUGCAUGGUUGUCGUCAGCUCGUGUCGUGAGAUGUUGGGUUAAGUCCCGCAACGAGCGCAACCCUCGUUCUAUGUUGCCAGCACGUUAUGGUGGGGACUCAUAGGAGACUGCCGGGGUCAACUCGGAGGAAGGUGGGGAUGACGUCAAAUCAUCAUGCCCCUUAUGUCUUGGGCUUCACGCAUGCUACAAUGGCCAGUACAAAGGGCUGCGAGACCGUAAGGUGGAGCGAAUCCCAAAAAGCUGGUCUCAGUUCGGAUCGGGGUCUGCAACUCGACCCCGUGAAGUCGGAGUCGCUAGUAAUCGCAGAUCAGCAACGCUGCGGUGAAUACGUUCCCGGGCCUUGUACACACCGCUGUA